CUGUGCUAGGUGGGGGGCUAGCGGUCCCCUGUCGUCCACAACCCGCUUAUGUGGAGCCGAAUGGCUCCCUGAGGGAGGGGGCGCGAGGGUCAGACCACGGGUGUGCGGUGUUGACGGCUGAGCCCUCUGCGGCGCACGCUGGUGAACCCCGUGAGACCCGGAAGGGAGCAGCGGUAAGCCGGCCUCUGCGGGUGUUAGAGGAUCCCUUGGCCCGAGCUUGCUACCCGCGAAGCGCCUCGUUCCUCCUUUCGAUGGGGCCGCGCACAG
Molecule: signal recognition particle RNA, 267 nt
Filed under: Candidatus Acetothermia bacterium
Lineage: Bacteria; Candidatus Bipolaricaulota
Description: signal recognition particle sRNA large type
Rfam family: Bacterial large signal recognition particle RNA
About the family: The signal recognition particle (SRP) is a universally conserved ribonucleoprotein involved in the co-translational targeting of proteins to membranes. Archaeal SRP consists of a 7S RNA and homologues of the eukaryotic SRP19 and SRP54 proteins.
Source: RNAcentral